UUAGUACUCCCUCCGAUCCAUAUUAUUUGUCGAAAUAUUACAUGUAUCUAGACGCUUCUUAAACAUAAAUACAUCCAUAUUUGAACAAAUUUGAGACAAGUAAUAUGGAUCGGAGGGAGUAUAUU
Brachypodium distachyon (stiff brome) is the source of this 125-nucleotide non-coding RNA. NCBI's taxonomy places the organism in Eukaryota, Viridiplantae, Streptophyta, Magnoliopsida, Poales, Poaceae. The record is from Rfam.